Chenopodium quinoa (quinoa) is the source of this 1004-nucleotide RNA transcript. RefSeq lists it as uncharacterized. The record is from RefSeq and is a predicted model, not a curated record. The transcript is spliced from 3 exons. Lineage: Eukaryota; Viridiplantae; Streptophyta; Magnoliopsida; Caryophyllales; Amaranthaceae.
GUGAUGUUAUGAAAGUUUAAGAUAUGAAAAUAACAACAAUUUAUGUAAAUAAAUGUGGAUAUACUGUUCUCUCUUGAUGAUUAUUGUGAUAUUACUUUAUUAUAAAAGGAUUAUGCGGAAUCAUAAAAAAAAUUAAAAAAUUAUUCUCAAAUACAAAAUAAUUAGGAAAUUAUCCUUACAGCUACAACAAAUUGUCGAAUCACCUAUCGAAAAAGGUUCUACAGAUUUGUGCGUAAGAUAUUCCAUAAGAUCUACCAAACAAUCGUUACAUACUAUAUGGUGUUAUAUUAAUGAUUUGAUUUAAUAUAAUAAAUUCGUGUCCCAGGACAUGAAGACUUAUAACAGGAAUAUCACACCCCAAAUAAUUGAGAUCUCUCUCUUUGAUUUUACUGACCACAAAACACAUCUAUCAUAAACAGAAAUAUCUUACUUUGAUAACAAAUAAUCUCAUUUCUUGAUUCUCAAACAUUUGAGCUUCAAAUGAUGGCGGAAAUCACAUUCAAGUUAAGCUUCUUCACUGUCUUCAUAUCAGCUCUACUUUUGCUCACUCAAUCAGGUGACACAUUUGCUACGAAGCUAAAUCGCCUAAAUGUAGAGGAUCAGGAUGAACUAGAAAGUGGUAGCUUAUUAAUGCAAAUGUUGAUAGAGGCCGAAACAAAAACAUUAGGACUUGCCAAAGAGGAGUAAUCAGUGCCGAUGAGAAGAUAAAGGUGAUCAUAGAGAAUGAAAGUGGAAACUUACUUAAAGAACUAGUAAAAGCGGGAGCAGUUCUGCAGUACGACAUUCAUGAGAUGGACGAGGUUUCGGACGAGACUUUAUCUGCCAAAUUGAAGUGCACUCAAUGUGGUAGAGAAUGCUCAUCAUGGAAUGACUGUUGUGGAAUUUGUGGUUGUGUAUAUAACUGUAGAGAAUAAAUUUCAAGCCUUAACCCCUAGCUUGAACCCCACUGUGAUCAUACAGUAAAGUACGGUGGCGUCCAAAAGGGAAGAAGAUAGAGCAAAAGA